AGAUUCGGUGAGACCGGACAAAAUUGGUCCUUCUUAAAAGUCUUUGCUCCAUUCUCAUUACACGACAACGAGCAAAGAGGGGCAACUCUAAGAGCCCAAUUUUUCUCGGGUCCUAAACAGCAACCAAAAAAAUAAAAAUAAAGAUAAAAAUAAAAAUUAACAGUCCCAAUCCAAUUACAAAAAAAAAGAGAGGCCCAAAUGGCCCAAAAUAAUCAAGAAACCCUAAUGGCUU
Molecule: long non-coding RNA, 232 nt
Filed under: Gossypium barbadense (sea-island cotton)
Lineage: Eukaryota; Viridiplantae; Streptophyta; Magnoliopsida; Malvales; Malvaceae
Description: long non-coding RNA (GBAR_LNC009460)
Source: RNAcentral